Molecule: ribosomal RNA, 444 nt
Filed under: uncultured bacterium
Lineage: Bacteria
Description: partial 16S ribosomal RNA
Rfam family: Bacterial small subunit ribosomal RNA
Source: RNAcentral
GAACGCGAAUGAACCUUACCUGGGCUUGACAUCUGCGGACCCUUAUGGAAACAUGGGGGUGCCUGGCAACAGGAGCCGCAAGACAGGUGCUGCAUGGCUGUCGUCAGCUCGUGUCGUGAGAUGUUGGGUUAAGUCCCGCAACGAGCGCAACCCUUNUCUUUAGUUGCCAUCAUUUAGAUGGGCACUCUAAAGAGACUGCCGGUGUUAAACCGGAGGAAGGUGGGGACGACNUCAAGUCCUCAUGGCCUUUAUGCCCAGGGUCUACACACGUGCUACAAUGGGCGGUACNNAGGGUCCCAAACCUGCUGAAGGGGAGCUAAUNCCNNGAAGCCGUCCUCNCUGCGGAUCGGAGUCUGCAACUCGACUCCGUAAGGUNGGAAUCCGCUNCUAAUCGUGUGAUCACAUGCCACGGUGAAUACGUUCCCGGGCUCUUGGNACNCGCCG